This 381-nucleotide ribosomal RNA is filed under the name uncultured bacterium. Its description in RNAcentral is "partial 16S ribosomal RNA". It matches the Rfam family "Bacterial small subunit ribosomal RNA", at positions 338 to 733 of the family's 1533-position model. The record is from RNAcentral.
CCUACGGGGGGCAGCAGUGGGGAAUAUUGGUCAAUGGUCGCAAGCCUGACCCAGCCACGCCGCGUGAGGGAAGAAGGCUUUCGGGUUGUAAACUUCUUUUCUCAGGGACGAAGCAAGUGACGGUACCUGAGGAAUAAGCCACGGCUAACUACGUGCCAGCAGCCGCGGUAAUACGUAGGUGGCAAGCGUUCUCCGGAUUUACUGGGUGUAAAGGGCGUGUAGGCGGGGACGCAAGUCAGAUGUGAAAACCACGGGCUCAACCUGCGGCCUGCAGUUGAAACUGUGUUUCUUGAGUACUGGAGAGGCAGACGGAAUGCCUAGUGUAGCGGUGAAAUGCGUAGAUAUUAGGAGGAACACCAGUGGCGAAGGCGGUCUGCUGGA